Oreochromis aureus is the source of this 178-nucleotide long non-coding RNA. RefSeq lists it as uncharacterized. Lineage: Eukaryota; Metazoa; Chordata; Actinopteri; Cichliformes; Cichlidae. The record is from RefSeq and is a predicted model, not a curated record. The transcript has 4 exons.
UUGAGAGACGAAAGAAUGCUGCACACCUGCUCUGUUCAGUAGUUGCAAGCUAGUUGUUUUCUGGGCAGUUCAGAUGCCUCACCAAGAUGAAGUUCCCAGUUGAAGACAUGUGGCUGUGCCCUGUGAACUUUGGUACACACUGGAUUCUUGUGAUUGUCAACAUUUCUGCACAGAAAAU